Molecule: unclassified non-coding RNA, 145 nt
Filed under: uncultured Ascomycota
Lineage: Eukaryota; Fungi; Ascomycota
Description: sequence contains ITS1
Source: RNAcentral
CCGAGUGUAAAAACUCCCCAACCCAUUGUGAACAUACCCCGCGUUGCCUCGGCGGGAUGCCCCGCGUCUCCGGACGCGGGGUCCGCCGGCGGCCCACGAAACCCCUGUCACGCCUGGCAUCUCUGAACGCAAGCGAAAUCAGUUA